AAUAGUGAGACACUUCCGAAUAUAGCAAAGUCCUGGAAAAUUCAUCAGUUUCACAUAACUGGAAAUAAGCUGUCAGUGUAGUUACUGGUGGCUCUACUACUCUUUGUUCGGCUUUUGCAGCAGUGUAGUAAACACGUUGGUCGUUUUCAAGAUGAACUGCCAAAUGUACAACAACCGGAUGUCUGUCAUGAAUUGGAAACGAUAAAAUACGCCAUACAGCUUCAUUCGUACUAAUAUAGCGCCCCAUUUGGUACUGCAAAAUUUCGUCAUGAUUAUUCUCAGGAGCCACUCCAAAAACAGCCAUAUUGCUGCCCUUAUUCACAUACUUGCAAAUAUAUUUGAUUGAUUUUACAGAAUUGCAAUAUUCUACAUUGUUGUGAGCGUUGAACAUUUUUGACAGCAUCGUUGAUUUACCGUUGUCUUCAGUUGAUCGUCGACGAUACUGUGAUACUGAUA
Bactrocera neohumeralis is the source of this 456-nucleotide long non-coding RNA. RefSeq lists it as uncharacterized. The record is from RefSeq and is a predicted model, not a curated record. The transcript is spliced from 2 exons. Lineage: Eukaryota; Metazoa; Arthropoda; Insecta; Diptera; Tephritidae.